CGCAUCUGUGCAUGCAGCAUAUCAAUAAGCGGAGGAAAAGGAAACUAACAAGGAUUCCCUUAGUAACGGCGAGUGAAGCGGGAAGAGCUCAAAUUUGAAAUCUUCAAGGUUUUACCUUGACGAAUUGUAGUUUAAAGAAGUGUUCUCUGUUGAAGUUUUGGUAAAAGUUCUUUGGAAUAGGACAUCAUAGAGGGUGAGAAUCCCGUAUUUGACCAUUAUUUUCAGCUGUGUGAUACACUUUCAAAGAGUCGGAUUGUUUGGGAAUGCAGUCCAAAAUGGGUGGUAAAUUUCAUCUAAAGCUAAAUAUUGGCGAGAGACCGAUAGCGAACAAGUACCGUGAGGGAAAGAUGAAAAGGAACUUUGAAAAGAGAGUUAAACAGUACGUGAAAUUGUCAAAAGGGAAGCGUUUGACACCAGUGUUGUUUUCUCGAAAAUCAAUUAAAAAGAGUUAGAUUUUGUUGUGUAUUGACCUUAACAGCUUGCAUUUCAAUUUUCUUGCUUUUUUUAAUGCGACUUUUCGUUUAACAAGUCAACAUCAGUUUCUUUUGUUGUAAAAAGGUCAUUGGAAGGUGGCUUUCUUUUCGGAGAAAGUGUUUAUAGCCUUUGACUCCUGCAAUCGGAGAGACUGAGGUCUGCAGCGUAGAUCCUUCGGGGUUAGAUACAUUUGUGCUAAGUUAUAGCUUUUUAUAGACAACUUGUUGACUAUGAUUAGUCUUGUAGCUUACUCGCUUAUGCUAUUUUACCUACGCUUAGGAUGUUGAUCUGUAGUGCGUGCGC
Molecule: ribosomal RNA, 777 nt
Filed under: uncultured Neocallimastigales
Lineage: Eukaryota; Fungi; Neocallimastigomycota; Neocallimastigomycetes; Neocallimastigales
Description: partial large subunit ribosomal RNA
Rfam family: Eukaryotic large subunit ribosomal RNA
Source: RNAcentral